RNAcentral lists this long non-coding RNA (758 nucleotides) under Coturnix japonica (Japanese quail). Its description in RNAcentral is "lncRNA (ENSCJPG00005002597.1)". Lineage: Eukaryota; Metazoa; Chordata; Aves; Galliformes; Phasianidae. The record is from RNAcentral.
UAUAUAGUGUCGAUAAUACAUAAUGGAGAGAGAAGAACAGACGUCAUACCGCCGGAGCAAAGUUUGGGGGGGGGGCAUUAAAAGGGGGGGGGGGGGGGUCGGCGUGCGGGAGGGGGGAUAUUAUAGGGUGGUUAAAAAGGGGGGGGGGGGACACACGAAGGGAAUAUAUCGGGGCUGAGCGCGCCAGCAUCAGCGAUGGAGCGUAUUAAACACCAAUGGGGGGGGGUGAAGGGGGUGUGGGGUGGGGGUCAUGUCCAAUGGGGGUCUCCAAUGGGGAUAUUCUUAAGGGGAGAUUCAAAUGGGGUGGGGGACAACCCCAAUGGGGUGGGGGUACCCCCAGUGGGGCUUACAAAUGGGGUGGGGGCACCUCAAUGGGGUGGGGACACCCCCCAAUGGGGUGGGGACACCGGCGUGGGGUGGGGGCACCCCUCAAUGGGGCCUACAAUGGGGUGAGGGCACCCUCAAUGGGUUGGGGGCACCCUCAAUGGGGUGGGGACACCCCCAAUGGGGACCUACAAUGGGGUGAGGGCACCCUCAAUGGGGUGGGGACACCCUCAGUGGGGUGGGGGUACCCUCAAUGGGGCCUACAAUGGGUUGAGGGCACCCUCAAUGGGGUGGGGACACCCCCAAUGGGACCUAGAAAGGGUUGGGGGCACCCUCAAUGGGUUGAGGGCACCCUCAAUGGGGUGGGGGCAUCCCCAAUGGGGCCAACAAUGGGGUGGGGUCACCCCAAAUGGGUUGAGGGCCCUCUAAGGUGA